CUUUCUUUACUACAGUGAUUCUCAGAGCCAGCAAGAAAGAGAAAUGUUCCAAAAGGGAACCUCCGUCUCAGCCAUUUGCCUGGAGCUGAAGGUUGUGGGCUCCUGGCCUUGAGGAUAUCCCCAUUGGGCUGAAAGGUGUGACAUGGACAAUGAAUGCUGAUUUCCAGACCUAAGUUGGACUCUGCAAACCUUUAUCCUGAUUGUUGUUUGACAGAGCUCACAGGAAAUGGAUAAAUCCAAAGAUUAAUCCCUUCUUCCUCAUCUGAUGCCAAAGAAUAAAGGAACAAGGGAUUCACUGGAGCCCAUAUUCCAUCCAUCUUGGAUUUUUGGCAAUGAAUGUUUCUUCAGGUUAAAAAUCAAAUGGUGUAUUAUUCUCACUGAGAAUCAGAGUUAGUGAGUAAAAUAUUUUAAGGGUAAUCUCUAAGGAUGACUGCAAAGAAGGAAGCUGAGGUCCAGGGAGGUCUCUGCCUGGCUAUAUAAGUAGUUAUAAGCAGAGCUAGGAUGAAGCUUCAACUCUUCUGACAUCCAGACAGUACUGUUGCUGUCACAGGCAUGCUAACAUAUGUAAAUAUGUGUGCGUGAAUGGUUGAACUGAAUAAUUUAAUGGAUAUUAAAGAAAUCCCACAUUCUAGUUUUAGGGUCACUACUCCCACUUCCAAGUCUUCACUUUUAAGAGGUAGCCAUCUAAGCUUUACCCCCAGCAUGAUGUUGGGGACAUUGUUCACUUUCAGGGCCAUAAGCCCACCUUCUGGGGGUCUCAGCUGAGGAUCCUUCAUAUCAGGGACCUGGUCAGUGGUAUUGACGUGGGGAUCUCACAUGGAGAAUCAGUGAAGAAUCAACUCACUUGUCCCAUUUGGACAUUGGGACAAGUGGGAAUUUGCUGACCAUCUUCCUCUGCUGGCCUAGAAGAAUGGCUGGCACCUCGUAAUAUGUGCCAGAGAAAUAUUCUUUAGUAAGAUCUGGUGUCAGAAAAGCACCUGGCUCUGCCGCUGAACACUCAGGUGAUUCUCCUCAAGGUACUGCUCUGCAUGUGAGUGUCUUCAAUUGUUGACUAGAGAUACUACUGCUGUUCACGGGAUGUUAGAAAGAUUAUUUGUACUUUGGAAAGUGAUUAACACUCAGGUAUUUGAUGUGUUGAUUCAGCCUCUUUGUAAACUUCUGGAAGGCAGAGAUUAUAUAUAUGUAUAUAUAUUGCACUUUUCACUAUUAAACCAUUUAUUAGCA
This is a long non-coding RNA of Camelus dromedarius (Arabian camel), 1224 nucleotides long. RefSeq lists it as uncharacterized. The record is from RefSeq and is a predicted model, not a curated record. NCBI's taxonomy places the organism in Eukaryota, Metazoa, Chordata, Mammalia, Artiodactyla, Camelidae. The transcript is spliced from 3 exons.